Molecule: non-coding RNA, 124 nt
Filed under: Dehalogenimonas alkenigignens
Lineage: Bacteria; Bacillati; Chloroflexota; Dehalococcoidia; Dehalococcoidales; Dehalococcoidaceae
Description: MoCo sequence
Rfam family: Molybdenum/Tungsten riboswitch aptamer (Moco RNA motif)
Source: RNAcentral
AUGAAUAAACCCUUCGAGCCGUCCCGGCCUAACUUUCAAAAGAAACAUGGCAGACGGCCGGUCAGGGUGUCGCUGGAAACGGCGGCGCCUCCCGUUUUUGGAAAGGAGGGGUAUGAGCGCUUAC